GAUGAACGCCAGCUACAGGCUUAACACAUGCAAGUCGAGGGGCAGCAUGAACUUAGCUUGCUAAGUUUGAUGGCGACCGGCGCACGGGUGCGUAACGCGUAUCCAACCUUCCCGUUACUCAGGUAUAGCCUUGCGAAAGUAAGAUUAAUCCCUGAUGAUAUAUGUUUACUGCAUGGUGAAUAUAUUAAAGAUUUAUCGGUAACGGAUGGGGAUGCGUUCCAUUAGGUAGUUGGUGAGGUAACGGCUCACCAAGCCGACGAUCGGUAGCCGGACUGAGAGGUUGAACGGCCACAUUGGGACUGAGACACGGCCCAAACUCCUACGGGAGGCAGCAGUGGGGAAUUUUGGACAAUGGGGGGAACCCUGACCCAGCAACGCCGCGUGAAGGAAGAAGGCCUUCGGGUUGUAAACUUCUUUUACCAGGGACGAAGAACGUGACGGUACCUGGAGAAAAAGCAACGGCUAACUACGUG
Molecule: ribosomal RNA, 473 nt
Filed under: uncultured bacterium
Lineage: Bacteria
Description: bacterial SSU rRNA
Rfam family: Bacterial small subunit ribosomal RNA
Source: RNAcentral